UACGAAGGGGGCUAGCGUUGUUCGGAAUCACUGGGCGUAAAGGGCGCGUAGGCGGCUGUUCAAGUCGGGGGUGAAAUCCCGUGGCUCAACCACGGAAUGGCCUUCGAUACUGGACGGCUCGAGACCGGAAGAGGUGAGUGGAACUGCGAGUGUAGAGGUGAAAUUCGUAGAUAUUCGCAAGAACACCAGUGGCGAAGGCGGCUCACUGGUCCGGUUCUGACGCUGAGACGCGAAAGCGUGGGGAGCGAACAGG
Molecule: ribosomal RNA, 253 nt
Filed under: uncultured bacterium
Lineage: Bacteria
Description: partial 16S ribosomal RNA
Rfam family: Bacterial small subunit ribosomal RNA
Source: RNAcentral